Molecule: ribosomal RNA, 885 nt
Filed under: Raffaelea sulcati
Lineage: Eukaryota; Fungi; Ascomycota; Sordariomycetes; Ophiostomatales; Ophiostomataceae
Description: SSU rRNA
Rfam family: Eukaryotic small subunit ribosomal RNA
Source: RNAcentral
AUGUCUAUUUGAUAGUACCUUACUACUUGGAUAACCGUGGUAAUUCUAGAGCUAAUACAUGCUGCAAAGCCGACUUCGGAAGGGUUGUAUUUAUUAGAUUAAAAACCAAUGCCCUCCGGGGCUCACUGGUGAUUCAUGAUAACUUCUCGAAUCGCACGGCCUUGCGCCGGCGAUGGUUCAUUCAAAUUUCUGCCCUAUCAACUUUCGACGGCUGGGUAUUGGCCAGCCGUGGUGACAACGGGUAACGGAGGGUUAGGGCUCGACCCCGGAGAAGGAGCCUGAGAAACGGCUACUACAUCCAAGGAAGGCAGCAGGCGCGCAAAUUACCCAAUCCCGACACGGGGAGGUAGUGACAAUAAAUACUGAUACAGGGCUCUUUUGGGUCUUGUAAUUGGAAUGAUGACAAUUUAAUUCCCUUAACGAGGAACAAUUGGAGGGCAAGUCUGGUGCCAGCAGCCGGUAAUUCCAGCUCCAAUAGCGUAUAUUAAAGNNNNNGCAGUUAAAAAGCUCGUAGUUGAACCUUGGGCCUGGCUGGCCGGUCCGCCUCACCGGGUGCACUGGUCCGGCCGGGCCUUUCCCUCUGGGGAGCCGCAUGUCCUUUACUGGGCGUGCCGGGGAACCAGGACGUUUACUUUGAAAAAAUUAGAGUGUUCAAAGCAGGCUUAUGCUCGAAUACAUUAGCAUGGAAUAAUGGAAUAGGACGCGUGGUUCUAUUUUGUUGGUUUCUAGGACCGCCGUAAUGAUUAAUAGGGACAGUCGGGGGCAUCAGUAUUCAGCUGUCAGAGGUGAAAUUCUUGGAUUUGCUGAAGACUAACUACUGCGAAAGCAUUUGCCAAGGAUGUUUUCAUUAAUCAGGAACGAAAGUUAGGGGAUCGAAGACGAUCA